CUGGUGAUCACUCACCCACAAUAUUCAGUUGCAAUUCCGCCUUGUAGAGUAUAGAGUUGGUAUGGUGGGUGAUAGCCAUUUCAGUCAUGAUCAUCCAUUGACAUCCUUUCGUGAUGAGAUGGAAGCGGAUGCUUCUGAUAACUAUCAUUCUUGCAAAAUAUGUGGUUUGCCAAUUCUAUCUGCUCCCUCCUACACUUGCACCUUUGCUGCUUGUGAUUUUUUUCUGCACCAAUCAUGUGCCCACAAAAUCCUACAAAAAUUAAUCCUUCCCAAUCUUAAAGACCACCCCCUUUAUCUCCAAGUAGGAAGUCCCAGUUACUUCUACGAAUGUAAUUAAUGCCGUCUCAAAAUGCAUCCUUUGGAUGCAGCAGCAGCAGCAGUGGAUGGUGUAGAGAUCAAAAGCAAACACAAGAGCCAUCCACCUCACCCUCUCAUGGCUUACUGUAGAUAGAUUUUCACUCGUUGCGAUGCCUGUGGGGAGGGACAUGCCGGUUUCUUCUUCUCAUGCCAACUCUGUAAUUUCUGGAUUCAUCAAGCCUGCACACCAUACUGCCUACUGCUAUCACGCUCCCCUCUCGUCCUCUGCCUCUGCUUCUCGUAUAUUCUAUUCCUGCCAGUUCCCGAUAUAGUUGGUGCAUUGUUUGCGACAAACCCUUGCUUCAUACCCAUAACACCAUCUAUUUAUGUCCCCAAACCUUAAGCAUUUCUCAUGUCAGAUGUGGACUCGAUAAAAUUCAAUCCAAAACGAGGCUAGAGUUGAUCCAACUGCCAGAUGACAAGUUGGACACAUUUCCAAGUUUGGAGAUCCGUACAUACUCCCAGAGAAACAAAGAUGAUAGUAUUGGUGAUGAUGAAAACAAGAAGCUUGCAAUUGAGAAUUUUCACAAGCAUCCUUUGAUCCUAGUUGGUGAUGAGGAAGAGGAUCAUAUUUAUAAUUGCAAAAAACUAGUGUGUGAUAUAUGCAUACAAACCAUUCCUAUUCCAUCUCCAUUUUACAGAUGCUCUCAACAAGGCGGCUGCUCUUUCCUUGCCCAUAAAGUCUGUGCAGACCUUCUCUCCAUUAUCAAGUUUGAGAUUCCAAUUGAUGUAGGCAACGUAGUAUUAAAGGCACAACCUUGUCCGCACCCGGACAAAUGGUUCUUCAGUUCAAUAUUUCUCUGCUGUUGCUGUUGUCUUCCUUGCAAUGCACCUUGCUACUACAUUCCAGAAGAUGAUUUAGGUCUCUUCACUGAUCUGUCGUGCAUGGCUGUCCCAUACAUUAUAAAGCACAGCUCACACAGCCAACACAUUCUCUUUCGCACCACCAGCCAAUUGAUUCAGACCUCCGCCAUCACUUGUUGUUCCCGCCGCCCCACCGUUCAUGAUAUCUAUAAGUGCACUACGUGCCAUUUCUACAUUCAUAUAAGGUGUGCCUUACUACCAAAAAGGGUUCAUUUUCAUAAAUUCGAUCAACAUCCUCUGCAUUUGAUCACUACGGGUACUAGUAAUAGUACAAGUAGUGAUCAUGACAUCUGUGAGGUGUGUGAGGAAGGUAUAGAGUGCAAGUAUUGGUUCUACCACUGUGCUCAAUGUGACUACUCUUUCCACGUAAACUGCAUUCCCUCGCUUGGAUAUUUGUCGAAAGUCAAGUUUGGAGGAAAAAGUAGCAUGCCUUGUCACUCUCAUCCUCUCACACUCACACGGAUGCUUACUUAUGGAAGAAAUGAGAGGUGUGGGUAUUGCAACCAAAUCAUUCGAGGAUUGGUAGAUCAAGCGGCUUUCUCAUGUUCACAAUGCGAUUAUUGGAUUCAUUUUUCUUGUGCGAGGGAUUCAUUCACAUCCUCUCACAAUUGUACAUCCUUGGUUUUCGAGGAAACCGAUGCACAGAAGUGGUAUGAUAUUCUUGAAGCCGAAAGAUCAAUUACUUGUACCGUAAUGAUGUAAUUGUGGAAUAGAUGAAUUUACUCUGUUUAAGAAACUGUAAUUGUUGCUGGUGAGGUGUGUGUAUUUAGUGAAUUACUUAAUUAUUUACAAUAUUUGAAUUGCCUAUUUUUUUUAUGUAUU
Molecule: non-coding RNA, 2043 nt
Organism: Salvia hispanica
Lineage: Eukaryota; Viridiplantae; Streptophyta; Magnoliopsida; Lamiales; Lamiaceae
Source: RefSeq, a predicted model, not a curated record